Molecule: ribosomal RNA, 292 nt
Filed under: uncultured bacterium
Lineage: Bacteria
Description: partial 16S ribosomal RNA
Rfam family: Bacterial small subunit ribosomal RNA
Source: RNAcentral
GUGUCAGCAGCCGCGGUAAUACGAACUGUGCGAACGUUAUUCGGAAUCACUGGGCUUACAGGGUGCGUAGGCGGCUCAACAAGUCAGGUGUGAAAGCCCCCGGCUCAACCGGGGAACUGCGCUUGAAACUGUUAGGCUCGAGUCAGCUAGAGGUACACGGAACUUCCAGUGGAGCGGUGAAAUGUGUUGAUAUUGGAAGGAACACCGGAGGCGAAAGCGGUGUACUGGGGCUGGUCUGACGCUGAGGCACGAAAGCCAGGGGAGCGAACGGGAUUAGAUACCCUCGUAGUCC